UACGAAGGGGGCUAGCGUUGUUCGGAAUUACUGGGCGUAAAGCGCACGUAGGCGGACUAUUAAGUCAGGGGUGAAAUCCCGGGGCUCAACCCCGGAACUGCCUUUGAUACUGGUAGUCUCGAGUCCGGAAGAGGUGAGUGGAACUCCGAGUGUAGAGGUGAAAUUCGUAGAUAUUCGGAGGAACACCAGUGGCGAAGGCGGCUCACUGGUCCGGUACUGACGCUGAGGUGCGAAAGCGUGGGGAGCAAACAGG
Molecule: ribosomal RNA, 253 nt
Filed under: uncultured bacterium
Lineage: Bacteria
Description: partial 16S ribosomal RNA
Rfam family: Bacterial small subunit ribosomal RNA
Source: RNAcentral